ACAAAUCCAAAUCCAAAUCUUUAAGAUAGAAAGUCUCCUGGAGAGAGAACAAAGAAAGCCUCAGUGGCCACAAAAUAGAACUCAACUUCUCUGUUUCUUACAGACUUUCUCAACAAACUAAAAAGAGAGAAACAGGUAAAAAAAAGCUCGAGCAAUUCUUGGGAGUUCUUAGGUACAAGUCAUAAGUAGUUAACUACUUGGUACUUUCACUACACAAUCAUUUAAUUAUAUGAUUUGUUCGACUACAAACUCAUCUUAAACACAUACGACUAAUAUGAUGGGGAAGCAGAGGUCGAGAAAAGGAUAAAACCGCCUGCAAAAGAAGAGAGAAGAUCAUAAGUGUCAUCAUAGUCAUCCAAAAUGAAUAUAGAAAUCAUGCAAAGGAAUCAGAGGGCCAUGGAUAAGGUACCAGGGUCUGUGGGAACCAGUGCAAGCUUAGCUUUGAGGGUGGCUCAGACCAUCUUGUCCUCUGCUUCUCUUCUCUUUAUGUCUCUCGGUGUUCCCUUCUACAGCUAUACUUCCUUCUGGUAAAUGAUAUAUUUAAUAUCCUCUCUCCUUGUAAUGAUUUAGAUAAGUAUUAUAGUUACAAAUACAGAUAUAAUUUGGUAAUUUGUCUCAGAAUUUAAAAUUUUCUUAUCUGAUCUCUCGCUAGUUAAAAUUCUCAAGUUACCCACUAGUAGUAUACUAUAAUACAGCCAAGGAGGUCAGGGAGCCUUUUAGUAGCCUUUGUAGCAGAUUCUCUCUCUUCUUAAAGUCUGAUAUAUCACAUAUUAGUUAUCAUAUUGGAGCUGAAUCAACUUAAAAAGUUUUUUUAUUUUAAUUUUUUUGAUAAGUAAACAAGAAUAUUUUAACAGCACCAAAAGGGAGAUGACCAUGCACACACUAUAUGUUCACUGUAAAGUUAGGCAAUAUUCAAGUACCUCAAAGGACCAGCUAUAUCAGAGUCAUUAUGUUGGAUUUAAGUUGUAUAGCUUCGCAUUUGUUGUGGCUUCACCCCUUUAUGACAAAUAUUGGCGCACAAACCCCUUUCUUCUAUAUUUUUCGAGAAAGAGAAUUGAUAUAUGAUCUAUUCAAAGCUGUCACCGGUAUGCAAAUGAUGCAUAAUUAUUUUCGGAAAUAAAAUCAAACUGAUGCACUCAACCAAAAACUUUACGCCCUCUCGUUUACAAGGAGCUCAUCCAGAAAUAUAUACAAUUAAGCUCCUAGAUUAAGGUGGCCCAAAAAAUCUACUAAGGCCACAGUUGAAACUGGAAACACCUCUUUUGUCCAAAAGAACAAGAAGCUCAAAAAUAAGAAAUCACAUCCAGUGCAAUGCCUCAAACUUAUCUUCAAGAGUUCUGAUGUUGCAUAGAUUGUGCAGUUCAAUACUUGCAACUUAUGCACAGUGUUUUACAGCAAGGAAACAUAGGCUUUCUACUUGUCUUUGUGUGUAGUUAAUGUCUUUGGGUGUACUUCGUAAUUAACUACCGGUCUUGAUUAUUGUAUUAAAUGGAGUAAUUGUCCCUGAAUUAUAAUAUGAAUACACAAUUCAAGCAAACUUUCUUUAUUAGAUAAUUACUUUGUAUCUUUUAUACACAAGUCAAACACCAACCUAAAGCACCUAGGCGAGUUUCUUUUAGAACUCCAAAAAGCCUGAAUCUGAAGGGAGGCUAAUGUCAAACGUCUUGAAUUCGAUAGAUUGGUUUGUUGUCCAUAUGUAGAAUUUGGAUCCUCUCCAGUAAUCAAUAUGCUUUAUUUCUUGGCUGCACACAAGUUCAUUUCAGGAGAAAAAUGGGCACAAUAAUCUUACUACAUCAUCAAAUAUCUUAAAUUAUGUUGCAAUUUUUUCCCUAGAUAGUUUUUUAACGAGUAAAAAAUAAUAUUAACCCUUGUUAUUAAUUUUAUCAUUAGUCCAUUCUCUAAUUUAUUAAUAUUUGUUGCAACUGUUGUUUAUUCCACAGCUUCUUGGUAACAAUCAUGGGAUUGGUGAUCCCAUGGAGUUUUACUUUGGCACUGGUUGAUGGAUACUAUGUCCUGGUUAAAUGCCCUAUUCGUCGGCCGGGAAUGAGAAUACUGCCGUUCAUAAUUAUAGGGGAUUGGGUACGUCUUGGCAUUAACUUGUUUCUGAAAAGUCUGACAUGUUUUAUCAUAUGGGUAAACUACAUGUAACAAUUUCAAACAUUCUAUCAACGGCAGGUUUUAUCAAUACUCACACUAGCUGGAGCCUGCUCAACAGCCAGCGUUGUCGAUCUUCUACUGAGAGCAAAUGUGUCUUAUUUCCCUCCAAAGGUCUGCAGUAGAUAUCAGAUAUCUGCCGCGAUGGCCUUCUUGUCAUGGUCUUUAUAUUUGGCUUCAUCUCUUUUCAAUCUAUGGUUACUUCCCUAGUGAUUUUCAUUUCAGCUUUUCUAUUGUUUUCAGAAUUGUAUAACUUUGUGUAUAGCAGUAGAUUCUUUCACUAUUCUAAGUUUGCAUAUAGAUAGUGUCACCCUGACUAAAACUACUAAAUCUUGUUUAAUCGUCAAGGAACAUGGCAUUACUUGAUAAAAGACAACAGAGAUCUUUCAUAUACUUUCAAGAUACAUAUUUUUGAGAAAUUUGUUAAUGUCUUGGUGUUUGGAAGAAGCAACUUUGCCAUAGUAAUUUGAGGAUAUGCAGCUUCAAAUUUAGAUUUCAAUAUCCAGUUAAAAGGCAAAUAAAGUUUUGGUUUCAACUAAGACAAUAAUAAAUUGUAACCAAGACCACAUAGAAAUACAUUGUAAAAUUCUUCAUAAAUUAAAAGUACAAGGUACCUGUAGCAUGGCUAAAAGAGCUUCUGUUUUUUACAGCUUCUAUUCUUACAGCCGUUUAUAGUAUAUUAGGACUGUGUCACUGUAUUGAGCUAGACUUUUAGUCUCCCUCUCCACCCAGCCACGUGUAACAAAU
This 2901-nucleotide long non-coding RNA is filed under the name Panax ginseng (ginseng). RNAcentral describes it as "long non-coding RNA (PGIN_LNC005931)". The record is from RNAcentral. Lineage: Eukaryota; Viridiplantae; Streptophyta; Magnoliopsida; Apiales; Araliaceae.